GAGCUUCCGUUGAAUGACGUGCUUGCACUGAUUUCAACAAUGAAGCGAGUGGCGAACUGGUGAGUAACACGUGGGAAAUCUGCCCAGAAGCAGGGGAUAACACUUGGAAACAGGUGCUAAUACCGUAUAACAACAAAAUCCGCAUGGUUUUUGUUUGAAAGGUGGCUUCGGCUAUCACUUCUGGAUGAUCCCGCGGCGUAUUAGUUAGUUGGUGAGGUAAAGGCCCACCAAGACGAUGAUACGUAGCCGACCUGAGAGGGUAAUCGGCCACAUUGGGACUGAGACACGGCCCAAACUCCUACGGGAGGCAGCAGUAGGGAAUCUUCCACAAUGGACGAAAGUCUGAUGGAGCAAUGCCGCGUGAGUGAAGAAGGGUUUCGGCUCGUAAAACUCUGUUGUUAAAGAAGAACACCUUUGAGAGUAACUGUUCAAGGGUUGACGGUAUUUAACCAGAAAGCCACGGCUAACUACGUGCCAGCAGCCGCGGUAAUACGUAGGUGGCAAGCGUUGUCCGGAUUUAUUGGGCGUAAAGCGAGCGCAGGCGGUUUUUUAAGUCUGAUGUGAAAGCCUUCGGCUUAACCGGAGAAGUGCAUCGGAAACUGGGAGGCUUGAGUGCAGAAGAGGACAGUGGAACUCCAUGUGUAGCGGUGGAAUGCGUAGAUAUAUGGAAGAACACCAGUGGCGAAGGCGGCUGUCUAGUCUGUAACUGACGCUGAGGCUCGAAGGCAUGGGUAGCGAACAGGAUUAGAUACCCUGGUAGUCCAUGCCGUAAACGAUGAGUGCUAAGUGUUGGAGGGUUUCCGCCCUUCAGUGCUGCAGCUAACGCAUUAAGCACUCCGCCUGGGGAGUACGACCGCAAGGUUG
This 864-nucleotide ribosomal RNA is filed under the name uncultured bacterium. RNAcentral describes it as "bacterial SSU rRNA". It matches the Rfam family "Bacterial small subunit ribosomal RNA", at positions 44 to 896 of the family's 1533-position model. The record is from RNAcentral.